Macrostomum lignano is the source of this 46-nucleotide non-coding RNA. NCBI's taxonomy places the organism in Eukaryota, Metazoa, Platyhelminthes, Macrostomidae. The record is from Rfam.
AAAACGGCCCUUUUCAGGGCCACCAAAUUUAUUUGAUGCCAAUUCG